RNAcentral lists this ribosomal RNA (492 nucleotides) under uncultured bacterium. RNAcentral describes it as "partial 16S ribosomal RNA". It matches the Rfam family "Bacterial small subunit ribosomal RNA", at positions 29 to 507 of the family's 1533-position model. The record is from RNAcentral.
AGUGAACGCUGGCGGUAGGCCUAACACAUGCAAGUCGAACGGCAGCACAGUAAGAGCUUGCUCUUACGGGUGGCGAGUGGCGGACGGGUGAGGAAUACAUCGGGAUCUACUUUUUCGGGGGGGAUAACGUAGGGAAACUUACGCUAAUACCGCAUACGACCUACGGGUGAAAGCAGUGGAUCUUCGGACCUUGCGCGAUUGAAUGAGCCGAUGUCGGAUUAGCUGGUUGGCGGGGUAAAGGCCCACCAAGUCGGCGAUCCGUAGCUGGUCUGAGAGGAUGAUAGGCCACACUGGAACUGAGACACGGUCCAGAGUCCUACGGGAGGCAGCAGUGGGGAAUAUUGGACAAUGGGCGCAAGCCUGAUCCAGCCAUACCGCGUGGGUGAAGAAGGCCUUCGGGUUGUAAAGCCCUUUUGUUGGGAAAGAAAAGCAGCAGGUUAAUACCCCGCUGUUCUGACGGUACCCAAAGAAUAAGCACCGGCUAACUUCGUG